Molecule: transfer RNA, 72 nt
Filed under: Ramicandelaber brevisporus
Lineage: Eukaryota; Fungi; Kickxellomycota; Ramicandelaberales; Ramicandelaberaceae
Description: tRNA-Pro
Rfam family: tRNA
About the family: Transfer RNA (tRNA) molecules are approximately 80 nucleotides in length. Their secondary structure includes four short double-helical elements and three loops (D, anti-codon, and T loops).
Source: RNAcentral
GGCCUGAUGGUCUAGUGGUAUGAUUCUCCGUUUGGGUCGGAGAGGUCCCGGGUUCAAUCCCCGGUCAGGCCC